RNAcentral lists this ribosomal RNA (526 nucleotides) under Trichoderma harzianum. RNAcentral describes it as "eukaryotic LSU rRNA". The stretch from base 156 to 308 matches the Rfam family "5.8S ribosomal RNA". Lineage: Eukaryota; Fungi; Ascomycota; Sordariomycetes; Hypocreales; Hypocreaceae. The record is from RNAcentral.
UCCACCUCCCACCCGUGUUUAUUUUACCUUGUUGCUUCGGCGGGCCCGCCUUAACUGGCCGCCGGGGGGCUUACGCCCCCGGGCCCGCGCCCGCCGAAGACACCCUCGAACUCUGUCUGAAGAUUGUAGUCUGAGUGAAAAUAUAAAUUAUUUAAAACUUUCAACAACGGAUCUCUUGGUUCCGGCAUCGAUGAAGAACGCAGCGAAAUGCGAUACGUAAUGUGAAUUGCAAAUUCAGUGAAUCAUCGAGUCUUUGAACGCACAUUGCGCCCCCUGGUAUUCCGGGGGGCAUGCCUGUCCGAGCGUCAUUGCUGCCCUCAAGCACGGCUUGUGUGUUGGGCCCCGUCCUCCGAUCCCGGGGGACGGGCCCGAAAGGCAGCGGCGGCACCGCGUCCGGUCCUCGAGCGUAUGGGGCUUUGUCACCCGCUCUGUAGGCCCGGCCGGCGCUUGCCGAUCAACCCAAAUUUUUAUCCAGGUUGACCUCGGAUCAGGUAGGGAUACCCGCUGAACUUAAGCAUAUCAAUAA